GGGGRCAUCAAGAGCGCUGUUCAUGACCUAGACCUCUACACAAACAAAAUAUUUUAAUCUUCUAGAUGAUACUAAGAAGCAGAUAAAUCCUACAGUACAGAAGAAGGUGAAAAGCAGCAGCUAAUCACACAUGGAAAAAAUAAUUCUCUCCUCCUGACCCCAAAUCUGGAACCUGGAUUACAGUUUGGCUU
This 191-nucleotide long non-coding RNA is filed under the name Dromaius novaehollandiae (emu). RNAcentral describes it as "lncRNA (ENSDNVG00000008325.1)". The record is from RNAcentral. Lineage: Eukaryota; Metazoa; Chordata; Aves; Casuariiformes; Dromaiidae.